AACGAACGCUGGCGGCAUGCCUAACACAUGCAAGUCGAACGAGACCUUCGGGUCUAGUGGCGCACGGGUGCGUAACGCGUGGGAACCUGCCCUUAGGUUCGGAAUAACUCCCCGAAAGGGGUUCUAAUACCGGAUAAUGUCUUCGGACCAAAGAUUUAUCGCCUUUGGAUGGGCCCGCGUUGGAUUAGCUAGUUGGUAGGGUAAAAGCCUACCAAGGCGACGAUCCAUAGCUGGUCUGAGAGGAUGAUCAGCCACACUGGGACUGAGACACGGCCCAGACUCCUACGGGAGGCAGCAGUGGGGAAUAUUGGACAAUGGGCGAAAGCCUGAUCCAGCAAUGCCGCGUGAGUGAUGAAGGCCUUAGGGUUGUAAAGCUCUUUUACCCGGGAUGAUAAUGACAGUACCGGGAGAAUAAGCACCGGCUAACUCCGUG
Molecule: ribosomal RNA, 433 nt
Filed under: uncultured bacterium
Lineage: Bacteria
Description: partial 16S ribosomal RNA
Rfam family: Bacterial small subunit ribosomal RNA
Source: RNAcentral